GAUGAAGAACGUAGCGAAAUGCGAUAAGUAGUGUGAAUUGCAGAAUUCAGUGAAUCAUCGAAUCUUUGAACGCACAUUGCGCCCUUUGGUAUUCCAAAGGGCAUGCCUGUUCGAGCGUCAUUUGUACCCUCAAGCUUUGCUUGGUGUUGGGCGUCUUGUCUCUAGCUUUGCUGGAGACUCGCCUUAAAGUAAUUGGCAGCCGGCCUACUGGUUUCGGAGCGCAGCACAAGUCGCACUCUCUAUCAGCAAAGGUCUAGCAUCCAUUAAGCCUUUUUUUCAACUUUUGACCUCGGAUCAAGUAGGGAUACCCGCUGAACUUAAGCAUAUCAAUAAGCGGAGGA
Molecule: unclassified non-coding RNA, 341 nt
Filed under: soil metagenome
Description: partial contains 5.8S ribosomal RNA, internal transcribed spacer 2, and large subunit ribosomal RNA
Rfam family: 5.8S ribosomal RNA (bases 1-120)
Source: RNAcentral